GAUGUAGGGGAGACUGGAAUUCCUGGUGUAGCGGUGAAAUGCGCAGAUAUCAGGAGGAACACCGAUGGCGAAGGCAGGUCUCUGGGCAUUAACUGACGCUGAGGAGCGAAAGCAUGGGGGAGCGAACAGGAUUAGAUACCCUGGUAGUCCAUGCCGUAAACGUUGGGCACUAGGUGUGGGGGACAUUCCACGUUUUCCGCGCCGUAGCUAACGCAUUAAGUGCCCCGCCUGUGGAGUACGGCCGCAAGGCUAAAACUCAAAGGAAUUGACGGGGGCCCGCACAAGCGGCGGAGCAUGCGGAUUAAUUCGAUGCAACGCGAAGAACCUUACCAAGGCUUGACAUGAACCGGAAACGUCUGGAAACAGGCGCCCCACUUGUGGUCGGUUUACAGGUGGUGCAUGGUUGUCGUCAGCUCGUGUCGUGAGAUGUUGGGUUAAGUCCCGCAACGAGCGCAACCCUCGUUCCAUGUUGCCAGCGCGUAAUGGCGGGGACUCAUGGGAGACUGCCGGGGUCAACUCGGAGGAAGGUGGGGACGACGUCAAAUCAUCAUGCCCCUUAUGUCUUGGGCUUCACGCAUGCUACAAUGGCCGGUACAAAGGGUUGCGAUACUGUGAGGUGGAGCUAAUCCCAAAAAGCCGGUCUCAGUUCGGAUUGGGGUCUGCAACUCGACCCCAUGAAGUCGGAGUCGCUAGUAAUCGCAGAUCAGCAACGCUGCGGUGAAUACGUUCCCGGGCCUUGUACACACCGCCCGUCAAGUCACGAAAGUUGGUAACACCCGAAGCCGG
This 786-nucleotide ribosomal RNA is filed under the name Arthrobacter oryzae. RNAcentral's name for it is "bacterial SSU rRNA". It matches the Rfam family "Bacterial small subunit ribosomal RNA", at positions 648 to 1430 of the family's 1533-position model. The record is from RNAcentral. Lineage: Bacteria; Bacillati; Actinomycetota; Actinomycetes; Micrococcales; Micrococcaceae.